GAGCCUGUAGCUCAGCGGAUAGAGCGCUUCGCUACGGACGAAGAGGCCGGGAGUUCGAAUCUCUCCAGGCUCG
RNAcentral lists this transfer RNA (73 nucleotides) under Anaerolineae bacterium. Its description in RNAcentral is "tRNA-Arg". It matches the Rfam family "tRNA". Rfam says of the family: Transfer RNA (tRNA) molecules are approximately 80 nucleotides in length. The record is from RNAcentral. Lineage: Bacteria; Bacillati; Chloroflexota; Anaerolineae.